UAGAGCGAGUGAUCCCUGUGAUAAUGAACAAAGGGAAGAUUAGUCUUUACCUCCCUCAAAUUCCUUUCUGCCUGAAACUGAAUCCACUAAAAAACCUUGGACUCAACAAGAGAACCUGACCCGGAAAACAACUCAAUUCAAUCUGAUUCAAGUGGCUAAAGAGCAGAAGCAUUAUGGCCAUAAGCCUGGACAAAUUAAAAGCCAACCAGUGAAAUCGUAUCAAUAUAUCACAUACCUUGGGAUUCCACUUGGUUCUCAUCAACAGUUAAUACAAUUUCCAAUGGAUAUGGGGACACAACGUUCACAGCAAAAUGCCAAAGCUGGGAUUAAAACCCAGACGAAAAGAAGUUAAAAUCACUGGAGAAAAAGAAGCAACCAGAGUAUUCAACCAAGAGCUUCACCCUGUUACUCUUUUGUUGAUAUUACCUUUUUGCUUUUUAUUCUAAUAAUCAUAUUGUAUGUUAAAAUUUG
Long non-coding RNA from Lepidothrix coronata (blue-crowned manakin), 471 nucleotides. RefSeq lists it as uncharacterized. The record is from RefSeq and is a predicted model, not a curated record. NCBI's taxonomy places the organism in Eukaryota, Metazoa, Chordata, Aves, Passeriformes, Pipridae. The transcript has 2 exons.